GACGAACGCUGGCGGCGCGCCUAACACAUGCAAGUCGAACGAGCGAAAGAGAGCUUGCUUUCUUGAGCGAGUGGCGAACGGGUGAGUAACGCGUGAGGAACCUGCCUCAAAGAGAGUGACAACAGUUGGAAACGACGGCUAAUACCGCAGAAGCCCACGGUACCGCAUGGCACCGAUGGAAAAGGAGCCAUCCGCUUUGAGAUGGCCUCGAAUCCGAUUAGCUAUUUGUUGAGGUAACGGCCCACCAAGGCGACGAUCGGUAGCCGGACUGAGAGGUUGAACGGACACAUUGGGACUGAGACACGGCCCAGACUCCUCCGGGAGGCAGGAGUGGGGGAUAGUGCAACAUGGCGGAAAUCCUGAUGGAGCGACGACGCGUGGAGGAAGAAGGUCUUCGGAUUGUAAACUCCUGUUGUCGGGGCAGAUAAUGACGGUACCUAACAAGGAAGAGACGGCUAACUACGUG
This 466-nucleotide ribosomal RNA is filed under the name uncultured bacterium. Its description in RNAcentral is "partial 16S ribosomal RNA". It matches the Rfam family "Bacterial small subunit ribosomal RNA", at positions 28 to 507 of the family's 1533-position model. The record is from RNAcentral.